This 402-nucleotide ribosomal RNA is filed under the name uncultured prokaryote. Its description in RNAcentral is "bacterial SSU rRNA". It matches the Rfam family "Bacterial small subunit ribosomal RNA", at positions 355 to 774 of the family's 1533-position model. The record is from RNAcentral.
UAGGGAAUAUUAGAAAUGGACGAAAGUCUGAUCUAGCAACACCGCGUGUGCGAAGAAGGCCUUCGGGUUGUAAAGCACUUUUUGGAAGGAUUAGGAAGGAAUGUACUUCCAGAAUAAGUCUCGGCUAACUACGUGCCAGCAGCCGCGGUAACACGUAGGAGGCAAACGUUAUCCGGAUUUACUGGGCGUAAAGCGCGUGUAGGUGGUUCUGUAAGUAGGGCGUGAAAGCUCCUGGCUCAACUGGGAGAGGCCGUUCUAAACUGCAGAGCUAGAGGAUGGUAGAGGGAGGUGGAAUUCCGGGUGUAGCGGUGGAAUGCGCAGAUAUCCGGAGGAACACCAGUGGCGAAAGCGGCCUCCUGGACCAAACCUGACACUCAGACGCGAAAGCUAGGGUAGCAAACA